AAAUUAAAAAACGAAAGUAAAUUUCUAACAACGCCCUGAUUAACACGACUUGAAUCAAAUCAUUUGUUUAUAAAAAAAAUUCUGUUCAUUGAGGGCCCUAGUUUUCUGUGAAUUGAAUUGGCUGUAAUUUUCAGAGCACAUGAACCUUGAUAAAUGUGUUGACUGUCACCUUGCAAAACCCAGAUUAACGUAACAGAUGCAAAAUCUGAUCGGUGAAGAUAAGAAAACGGAGACCAUGGGAAUUCUUCUAGUCCUGUUUACAGCUUCUUUAUGCCUCUACCUUUUCGUUGCUUUGCUCAAUGUUUUCUACAAGUAUUGGUGGAUACCUCAACGGGUACAGUUCGCCAUGAAUUCACAGGGAAUCAGAGGACCUCCUUAUGAAUUUAUCCAUGGAAACAACAAAGAAGCUGCCCAAAUGCUCAUGGAAGCAUCUACCAAACCUAUGGGCUUGACACACGAUAUAUUUCCCAGAGUCGUGCCUCAUGUUUACUCCUGGAUCAACAAAUACGGUGAGAAUGUCUUUUUUUUCUUUUUUGGGUAGUAUUUUCUGAUUAACCUCCACUUUCCAUGAAGAGAAAUCACUUUCUUUCAGGGAGCACUUUUCUUAGUUGGAAUGGAAUUCGAGCUCAACUGCAAAUUACAGACCCAGAUCUGGUCAAAGAGGUCCUUAAAAACAGUGACAAAGCUUUUCGAAAGCCAAAGACUUCAUAUUUCUUCGUCAAGCUAAUAGGCGAUGGGCUUGCUUCAACCGAACGUGAGAAAUGGGCAAGGCAAAGGAAACUGGCCAAUUAUGCCUUUCAUGGGGAGAGCUUAAAAGUAAAUCAUCUCUACCUUCUAAUCUAAUUAUUGUAGUGGACAUUUACAAACUUGAUAAUUUUUUGCAGAAUAUGACUCCAGCAGUAGUUGCUAGCGUUGAAACCAUGCUUGAGAAAUGGAAAAGUAAGGAGGGCAAAGAGAUAGAAGUGUUCCAAGAGUUCAGAUUAUUGACUUCAGAAGUGAUAUCCAGAACCGCCUUUGGUAGCAGUUACUUGGAAGGGGAGAAGAUUUUUGACAUGCUGAUGAAGUUGACAGUAAUUGCAGGCAGAAAUAUUUUUAAAGCAAAGAUUCCCAUCAUCAGGUAACUUCAUCAAAUCUUUACUUUGUUAAUCAACAUACUUCAGCUUACAAUGGGUUGAUUUAAUCUGGUUGUCCUUUUCAGCAAGUUUUGGAAAUCUGCUGAUGAAAUUGAAUCAGAAAGAAUUGCCAAAAUGAUACAUGAUUCUGUGAUGAGGAUUGUUAAAAAAAGGGAAGAGAGAGUAGUGAACGGAGAAGCUGAUAACUUCGGUCGUGAUUUUCUGGGAUUACUUAUAAAUGCUUAUCAUGAGGCGGACCAGAAAAACAGGCUUUCGAUUCAAGAUUUGGUAGAUGAGUGUAAAACUUUUUAUUUUGCUGGGCAAGAAACAGUCAAUUCCUUGCUGGCAUGGGCAACUCUGCUUUUAGCAAUACACACCGAUUGGCAAGACAAAGCAAGAGCAGAGGUGAUUGAGGUCUUUGGUAAUCAAAACCCAGAUUCUGAAGGGAUGGCCAAAUUAAAGACGGUAAGCAAACUAUACAAAUUCAAUAGCUUGAAAACUAACACUGACCAUUUAUAUUGCCUUUUGGAUUUUUUUUUUCUCCAACAGAUUACCAUGAUUAUCAAUGAAACUUUACGGCUCUAUCCUCCUAUAAAUCGCGUGAUAAGAGAAGUAGGAAGAGAAGUCCAAUUAGGAAAACUUGUCCUGCCUACUCAUUCAGAGGUCGACAUGCAAAUCAUAGCACUUCACCAUGACCCUGACUUAUGGGGAGAUGAUGUUAACCUUUUCAAACCAGAGAGGUUUGCUGAAGGGAUAGCGAAAGCUACUAAGUACAAUGCAGCUGCAUUUAUGCCUUUUGGAUUGGGACCUCGAUCUUGCGUAGGCAUGAGCUUUGCAAUCACUGAAGUGAAAACUGCACUUUCCAUGAUUCUGCAACGCUAUACUUUCACCGUCUCCCCUACCUAUGUUCACGCACCUGCACCACGUCUUUCACUCAAGCCACAACAUGGGAUUCAGUUGUUGUUUCAUUCACUACAUUAUGAUGCUUAAAAUUCUAGGCUGUUGGUCUCCAAUAUUGUAAUAUAUAAUAAAAUGUGGAUGAUACUGUAUUUUGCAACCAUACGAUGAUAUAUGGUUUGGGGAUUUCAUGUUUUGGCAACAAGAUUAUAUGCUUUUUGUUGUUGUUGAUAUUGUUAAAGGUUAAAAAGGUAUUACAGCAAACAUCGCCACCGCAGGAGCAGGCCCUACGGUCCACCAAAGAGAAAUCAAUUCAAACUACCCCAAAAAGCUGGAACGGCAGCAGCAAAUCGAGUCAGCUCCCUGAACAUCAUACAGCAACACAGAAAGAAGAACAUCACAACCCAGUCAUAUACACGCCAUGAAGACAUUGGACUCCACAUUUUGCUAAAGUAUCAGCAAAGCAGCUAGAUUCUUUAUACACAUUCACAAUGGAGACAUUAUGGGAUCUCAUCACAGAGCUUAGAAUAUGACCCAUCCAGCAUUUGAGAAACAGUGAAGAUGUCAAGUCCAGGAGCUCCAAACAAUGCCUUGGCCGCUGGAUCCUAUAAUUAGGUGUCUUUCUUCCAUUACUACUGCAGUAGUGAAGUUUUUAUUCCACUUGGUUCCCAUCUUCCAGAGUUUCUGCUUGAAACACUCACUCCUGGAGCCGGCCAUUACAUUGCUUGUUAGCUUUCAUGGAAGGCUCGAAGCUCAUUAGACCAGAAACAUUGUUACUUUGCCUAUGUAUCUAUUUGACAUAUUCUCUUAAGGAAGAGCUACUUAUAUCAAGGCUCCAUCUUUCUGAGUUGCAGGGCAAAAGUCCGUUCUCCAUGCAAAACUACCCAUUUCCACUAAAGCACACUAGCUUUCGCCAUCCCAUCCGCGAAAAAACCUGAAAUGAUACACCAGAAACUCCCUCAAGACAGACAGAGCCAAGUCACUUUCUCGCUAAUCCCCAUUGAACCCUCCAAUUAAGCAAAGCCAUUUCAUAUUUCAACCCAAUGGCCACCACAAUUGCCGUACAAAAUUUACAAAUUAAAAUGCAAAAAGUAAUACAGAAAAAUACACAGCCCAAGCUCCAAUAGUAACAUAAACAUUCAUUUUAUAACAAUAAAGUUAAAGCCACGAAUAUUUUCAAAAAAAUUCAAUUAAGCCCUUGAAUGUUAAAAUUUCAAUCAAUUAAGCUCUUUGAUAGUUAAAGUUAACAGUUAAUUGUUAUAGUUAAAAUUUCAAUCAAUUAAGGUACGGUGUAGCGUUUGUUUACCCAUCGUUUAACCAUGUGGUUGAAGGUUCGAUCCCCACUUAUGGAAAUGAAGCACAUUUCAUAGUCAGUCAUUUACCUAUUUGGAGAGCACUUAUAGUGAGAAGAUUAACUACUGUUGUUGUUGGUGAAUUCCCUGAUUAUUACAAAUAAAAAAUAACAAUUGUCAUUUUUUUUGGAUUAUUUUUGCCACGUGCCAUGCUAAGAUUGUGCCACGUGGUAUAAAAUUAUAAAAAUCAUAUAAAAAUUAUACAAGAAUUAUAAAAAUGAAUAAAAUUAGAAAAAAUAUAUAAAAAAUCUAUUUUUAAAAGGUUAAUAAAUUUAAUAUUUUAUUAUUUUGAAAAGGAUAAUAAAUUUUUAAAAGGUUUUUUUAUUCUUAAAUUUUUAAGGGCUAUUUAAAUUUAAUUUCAAAAUAAAGCAUGCCUAAUAUAUAAAUAGACAUUUAAUUGGUGUCCAACAGGAAUGGCGUCACUCCUAUUUUUCAUCUAGUUUAAAAAUGAUAAUUAAUUCAUCAGGUGUCUGAACAUUUUUAUUUAUUCUUCAAUUCAAUGUCACAAAAAACAAUGACAACAUCCAAAAUAUUUUUUUUUUUUAAAAUGAGUCACCGACAUUUAUGGUUUAAAAUGAGUUUCAAAAUAAGUUAUUUUUAUAAAUAAUUAAAAGUUUUGGGUAUUUUUAAUAAAAAAAGCCUAAGUUUGAUGAAUGGCGUCAGCCAUUAUGUAGGUCUACUUAAUACGAAAACGACGGCUUGAUUUUGUUGGCCAAAAGGAAAGUACCUUUUGGGUUUUGCUUUGCCCAAAUGCUAGCAAAGUCUUUGCAUGCAUUUGUUUGAUUGGAAAAGUGAGAAAUAGAUGAACAUGGUAAGCACAAAUUCUAGACAUUACCAUAUCACCUAUAAAAUUUAGUUAUCUUUUUAAUUUCUUUUGGUGUAUUAUAAAAAAAAAAUUCUAAUAACACGACUUGAAUCAAAUCAUAUCUUAGUCAAGAGAUGGGGUUAUUUUAAUUUUUGUUUAUAAAAAAAAAAUCUUGUUCAUUGAGGGCCCUAGUAGGAGGUAUUGAAUAAUAACUAGAAGUCAAAUCCUGCACGCUUCCCAUUUCUGUGUAUUGAAUUGGCUGUAAUUUUCAAAGGACAUGAACCUUGAAGAGGGACAAGUGUAGUCUCUUGAUGAUAAAUGUGUUGACUGUCACCUUGCAAAACCCAGAUUACCAUAACAGAUGCAAAAUCUGAUCGGUGAAGAUAAGAAAAUGGAGACCAUGGGAAAUCUUCUAAUCCUGUUUACAGCUUCUUUAUGCCUCUAUCUUUUCGUUGCUUUGCUCAAUGUUUUCUACAAGUAUUGCUGGAUACCUCAACGGGUACAGUUCAUCAUGAAUUCACAAGGAAUCAGAGGACCUCCUUAUGAAUUUAUCCAUGGAAACAACAAAGAAGCUGCCCAAAUGCUCAUGGAAGCAUCUACCAAACCUAUGGCCUUGACACACGAUAUAUUUCCCAGAGUCAUGCCUCAUGUUUACUCCUGGAUCAACAAAUACGGUGAGAAUAUGUUUUUUUUAUCUUUUUUGGGUAGUAUUUUCUGAUUAACCUCCACUUUCCAUGAAGAGAAAUCAUUUUCUUUCAGGGAAGACUUAUCUUAGUUGGAAUGGAAUUCGAGCUCAACUGCUAAUUACAGACCCAGAUCUAGUCAAAGAGGUCCUUAAAAACAGUGACAAAGCUUUUCGAAAGCCAAAGGCUUCAUAUUUCUUCGACAAGCUACUAGGCGAUGGGCUUGCUUCAACCGAACGUGAGAAAUGGGCAAGGCAAAGGAAACUGGCCAAUUAUGCCUUUCAUGGGGAGAGCUUAAAAGUAAAUCAUCUCUACCUUCUAAUCUAAUUAUUGUAGUGCGACAUUUACAAACUUGAUCAUUUUUUGCAGAAUAUGACUCCAGCAGUAGUUGCUAGCGUUGAAACCAUGCUUGAGAAAUGGAAAAGUAAGGAGGGCAAAGAGAUAGAAGUGUUCCAAGAGUUCAGAUUAUUGACUUCAGAAGUGAUAUCCAGAACCGCCUUUGGUAGCAGUUACUUGGAAGGGGAGAAGAUUUUUGACAUGCUGAUGAAGUUGUCAGUAAUUGCAGGCAGAAAUAUUUUUAAAGCAAAGAUUCCCAUCAUCAGGUAACUUCAUCAAAUCUUUACUUUGUUAAUCAACAUACUUCAGCUUACAAUGGGUUGAUUUAAUCUGGUUGUCCUUUUCAGCAAGUUUUGGAAAUCUGCUGAUGAAAUUGAAUCAGAAAGAAUUGCCAAAAUGAUACAUGAUUCUGUGAUGAGGAUUGUUAAAAAAAGGGAAGAGAGAGUAGUGAACGGAGAAGCUGAUAACUUCGGUCGUGAUUUUCUGGGAUUACUCGUAGAUGCUUAUCAUGAGGCGGACCAGGAAAACAGGCUUUCGAUUCAAGAUAUGGUAGAUGAGUGUAAAACUUUUUAUUUUGCUGGGCAAGAAACAGUCAAUUCCUUGCUUGCAUGGGCAACUCUGCUUUUAGCAAUACACACCGAUUGGCAAGACAAAGCAAGAGCAGAGGUGAUUGAGGUCUUUGGUAAUCAAAACCCAGAUUCUGAAGGGAUGGCUAAAUUAAAGACGGUAAGCAAACUAUACAAAUUCAAUAGCUUGAAAACUAGCACUGACCAUUCAUAUUGCCUUUUGGAUUUUUUUUUCUCCGAUAGAUUACCAUGAUUAUCAAUGAAACUUUACGGCUCUAUCCUCCUAUAAGUGGCGUGAUAAGAGAAGUAGGAAGAGAAGUCCAAUUAGGAAAACUUGUCCUGCCUACUCAUUCAGAGGUCGACAUGCGAAUCAUAGCGCUUCACCAUGACCCUGACUUAUGGGGAGAUGAUGUUAAUCUUUUCAAACCAGAGAGGUUUGCUGAUGGGAUAGCGAAAGCUACUAAGUACAAUGCAGCUGCAUUUAUGCCUUUUGGAUUGGGAUCUCGAUCUUGCGUUGGCAUGAGCUUUGCAAUCACCGAAGCGAAAACUGCACUUUCCAUGAUUCUGCAACGCUACACUGUGACCGUCUCCGCUAACUAUGUUCACGCUCCUGUACUACGUCUUACACUCAAGCCGCAACAUGGGAUGCAGUUGUUGUUUCAUUCACUACAUUAGGAUGCUUAAAAUUCUAGGCUGUUGGUCUCCAAUAUAGUAAUAUAUAAUAAAAUGUGGAUGAUACUGUAUUUUGCAACCAUACUAUGAUAUAUGGUUUGGGGAUUUCAUGUUUUGGCAACAGGAUUAUAUGCUUUUUUUUUGUUGUUGAUAUUGUUAAAGGUUAAAAGGGUAUUACAGCAAACAUCGCCACCGCAGGAGCAGGCCCUACAGUCCUGUGAAUAACAUAAUUUGGUGUCUUUCUUCCAUUACUACUGCAGUAGUGAAGUUUUUAUUCCACUUGGUUCCCUUCUUCCAGAGUUUCUGCUUGAAACACUCACUCCUGGAGCCGGCCAUUACAUUACUUGUUUAGCUCUCAUGGAGGGCUCCAAGCUCAUUAGACCAGAAACAUUGUUCCUUUGCCUAUGUAUCUUUUUGACAUAUUCUCUUAAGGAAGAGCUACUUAUAUCAAGGCUCCAUCUUUCUGAGUUGCAGGGCAAAAGUCCGUUCUCCAUGAAAAACUACCCAUUUCCACUAAAGCACACUAGCUUUCGCCAUCCCAUCCGCCAAAAAACCUGAAAUGAUACACCAGAAACUCCCUCAAGACAGACAGAGCCAAGUCACUUUCUCGCUGAUCCCCAUUGAACCCUCCAAUUAAGCAAAGCCAUUUCAUAUUUCAAGCCAAUGGCCACCACAAUUGCCGUACAAAAUUUAGAAAUUAAAAUGCAAAAAGUAAUACAAAAAAAUACACAGCCCAAGCUCCAAAAUGCAAGAAAGUACAUUUAAAAUAUGAGCCAAAUUUAGAUUUCAAUUUAAAAAUUUGAAUUUAAUUCGUUUUUAAAUUUGUAAUAUAGUAUAUUCAUUAUAAGAAAAAUAUGAAUUGUCAACCUUUAAAUUUAUUGUUAAAUGUUGUACUACCAUUAAAAAAAUUUUAUUGUAACAGCAAAAAAAUCGUUGUGAGGUCAUUGUGUAUACCUCCAUUGUAUAAAAUAUGCACAACGAUUUUACAAAUUGAAAAAUCGUUUUAAUUAUAUACAUCGCAACAACUUUUUUCGUUUUAAAAUAUAUAUUUUUUGUAACAACUUAAUUUAUUUGUCUAAAAAUGUUUUAGUUAUAAUAAAAUUUGUUAUAAUAUUUUUAACACAACCAUAAUACUUUAGUUACAAAAAACUAUUAUGUAACAAUAAUAUAUUGGUUGUAAUAUAAAAUUUGCAACAACUGUAAAUUAAAAUGCUAAGUUUUGUACGUAACAAUAAUAAUACUGAUAUGUCAUUGUAUUACAUUACUCAAUGAUUAUAUGUCAUUGCCAAAAAAAUAUUUUAAUAACCAUAAAAUGUGGUUGCCAAAUCAUUUACUUAAGAAUAAUACUACUGAUUACUAAAUAUUAUUCUGCAACUAUUUUAAUUUGUUGUGUACUACAUUGCGCAACAACAAUGUUAUUUUUAAUCAAAUGGCUAUAUAUAAUUUAAUAAAAUUAAAAAAAAAGUUUCUUCAUCCUCUAACUUAAUAAAAUAAAAUAAAAAAUUCAUGUUAGAUUGAAUUGAUCUUGAGGUUAUAUAUAGUCAUUGGCCAUGUCAAAGAGAAUAGCUCUACCAAAAUAAAAAAUUUAUUUUUUAUUAAAAAAUUUUUUUAAAAAAAAUUAAUUGCAGCAUAGUAACCGUCAUUCUCUAUGACUCUAUCAAAUAAAAUAAUAAUUUUAAUUUCAAAUUAAAAAUAAAAAUCACUUUAAAAAAUUUGACAUAAUAAAAGUGGUGUGACCAAUUUAUUUGGCUCCUGAAAUAUUAUUAUUUAUUUUCUAGUUCCCAAAAUAUUUAAAAAUAUUGGUGUCAGAGUGGUAUUUAUACGGGUGAAGCCAAAUAAAUUAACUUUACCUACAAAAAUUAAUUUUUGUUAUAAAAUAAAGAGAUGGAGAGAAUGAAGAACAAAUAAAAUAUGAAAGCAAUAGAGAAUGUACUUUAUUGAUCAAAGGGAUGAUUACAAUGUUUCAUCAGAGUCUCUAUUUAUAGGCAUAAGAAGUAUAAAAGAAGUAGAGAUCUAAUUCUAAUAACUAUUAGAAUUUAAAGUAUAUCAAAACUUUAUCUUGAUCAUGAUGGACAUCCACUAAAUAAGAUAUUUAUAACACUCCCCCUUAGAUGUCCAUUGGUGGAUAAUUUGCCUCGUUAAAACUUUAUUAGGAAAAAUCUUGUGGGAUAAAAACCCAAUGAAGGAAAAAGAGUACACAAUCUUCUAUUACAAGUUGUCUCAUUAAAAAUCUUUACGAGGAAAACCCAAUGGGACAAUACAUUGGUUAAAGGAAAGGAGUACAACUUAUUUUAGACUCCCCCUAAUGGCAACAUUACAUUACAUCUUUGAGUUGACGCAUUCUAAUCUUGUGUAGUAGUCUUUGAAAUGUUGAAGUUGGCAAUGCCUUAGUAAAAACAUAUGCUAAAUUAUCACUAGAAUGAAUUUGUUGAACAUUUAUAUCACCUCUUUUCUCAAGAUCAUGGGUGAAGAAUAAUUUUGGCGAAAUAUGUUUCGUUCUAUCACCUUUGAUGUAACCACUCUUCAAUUGAGCCAUACAUGUUGCAUUAUCUUCAUAUAAGAUAGUUGGCAUCUUUUCCUAUAAAGGCAAAUUACAUAUCUUCUGGAUAUGUUGGGUCAAUAACCUUAGUCAAACACACUCUCGACUUGCCUCAUUCAUUGCAAUUAUUUCUAAAUGAUUUGAAGAAGCAACAGCUAAUGUUUGCUUUGUCAAACGUCAUGAUAUGGUAGUAGUCUUUGAAAUGUUGAAGUUGGCAAUGCCUUAGUAAAAACAUAUGCUAAAUUAUCACUAGAAUGAAUUUGUUGAACAUUUAUAUCACCUCUUUUCUCAAGAUCAUGGGUGAAGAAUAAUUUUGGCGAAAUAUGUUUCGUUCUAUCACCUUUGAUGUAACCACUCUUCAAUUGAGCUAUACAUGUUGCAUUAUCUUCAUAUAAGAUAGUUGGCAUCUUUUCCUAUAAAGGCAAAUUACAUAUCUUCUGGAUAUGUUGGGUCAAUAACCUUAGUCAAACACACUCUCGACUUGCCUCAUUCAUUGCAAUUAUUUCUAAAUGAUUUGAAGAAGCAACAGCUAAUGUUUGCUUUGUAUCUACAUAUAAAUACUAUUGUGACAUUUACUACUGGAAAUGUCUAAAUCUAUGUGAAGUCUAUAAUGCCACUAAGUCAAUAAAUAAAUAUAAUUUUCAAAUAAUUAUAUAUAAUAUUCGCUUUAGGGAAUAUGUUAAAAUCUUCAAAUAUAAGGCAUUUGGUCUAGUGGUAUGAUUCUAGCUUAGAGUGCGAGAGGUCCCGAGUUCGAUUCAAAAUAUAAAUAACUCAAUCCUCUUUUGAUUCAUAUCAAAUAUAAUCUUUUCCUCAUUCACAAUCUCAACAUGAGAUCCAUUAUGAAUAUAUUUUAAAACUAAUGCAUUAACCAUCACAAACUUUGUGCUUUUUAGAUAUUGAUAUAUUAGCUCUUCUAGAGCUUUUAACUAACUUUUUACUAUCAAAUAUUGGAAUAUAUUUGUUUAUUUCAGUACCAAAUAAGAUAAAUAUUUUCUAUUUGUAAUAAUAAAUUUUAUUACUACAUUCUCAUAUCCUUCCUUAAAGGAUAUUAUCAGAGACAAAAUAUUUGGGCAUACACCACAUAUGUGACCAGUAAUCUUUCAUAUCACAUUGGUAAUAUAAGUUAUAUUUACCCUUUGAAAAGUUAUCUUGAGAACUCUCAUUGUUCUCUUAUUUAUUACUAUGUUCCCACUUUUAGUGGUUCAUGAGUAUAUCUUUUAUUUUCUUUAUGUUUACAUUCACUUCGGGGAAUGCAACAAAUCUAGUAGGAUGGACUUAUAAACAUCCCAAUAGAUUCUUUAUUUCAUAAUCACCAUCGCAAACAUGUGUGAGAUUUCAAAUCAAAAUUUAUCUAUUCAUAUUGUCAUGAUUAGUCUCUAAUUAUAAUAAACAUGAUAUAAUAAAUAAAACAUAAUAAAAUAUACCUGAAGAUCUUUAACAUCGUCAUCAUAUUGACUAUUAUCACGAGCACUAUUACAAGUAGUAAAACAACUUUAUUUUCGUAAUAACAUUCACAAUCUAAUAGUAAAAAUCAUUUAAUAAAUAAUUAAAAUUUUCAUGUACGAUGCUUGAAAAUUAUCUGAUACACAUUGUAUCAAAUUUCGAUACCACAUAUAUGUUAUAAAAUCUUAUCUUGCUCUAAUAAAAUAUUUAUAAGUUCAAUUUAAAAAAUAUCAUACAAUUAUUCAAUAUUAGAAAGUUAAUAAGACUAAAUAGAUCCUAUCAAAUUUCCUUUCACUCAACAAUGGUAGCUUAAUAAGACUUUCCACCAUAAUUUUAAUAAAAUUUCAAGAAUAAAUAACAAGAAAAAAAAUUUAAACACAAAAAUAUUAUGCAUAAUAUAAUUUAAUUAAAAAAUAGAAAAAAUAACAUACCAUAUUAAUAGCAAACAUAUCUAAUCAAUAAUUAUGUCUUUUAAAUAAUAAAACUUUACCCCAAAAAGCCAAAAAUCAAAUACUAUCAGAAUGUGAAAUUUAUGUCAAAUAAAAAUUAAUAGUAGUUAUACCUUAAUCGAAAAAGAAAAUAUGGUCGAAAUAUAAAAGUUUCUUACCAAAUCUACACUUUACCCAUACUUGUACAAUAAACCAAAGAUCGAGAAUAAGAAUCACAAUCCAUUCUGAGAUUGAAUCUUUCAACAUCAUGAAGAUGAAGUUGUAAGGGAGAAAGUUUAAGGUGAAAAAGAAUUUGAUUUAUGGGACAACUUCGAAAGAUUUUGAAAAAAAUAGAAAAUAAUCGUGCUGAUAACGUGGUAUAAAAUAAAGAGAGAUGGAGAGAAUAAAGAAAACAUGAAAGCAAUAAAAAAUGUAUUUUAUUGAUCAAAGAGAUUAUUACGAUGUUUUAUCAUAGUCUAUUUAUAAGCAUAAGAAAUAUAAAAAAAGUAAAGAUCUAAUUCUAAUAACUAUUAAAAUUUAAAAUAUAAAACGACGUUGUUCUGAUAAAUAUUUAGAUUUUCUAGAGUUGAAGCCAAAAACCAUUAAGUUAAAAAACAAAACAAUUAUAUUGUUUUUGUAGUUAUAAUCUUGUAUUUCCUCUACUAGUUAAAUAAUCAGUCCAUAUAAAUGUAACAUUGAGUAUAAAUAAUAGGAUUUGUUAACUCGAAUGGACUUGACUCGAAAUUUUUUAACACCAUUCGAUUUGAAAAAUUUUCAAAUUGAGUUCGAUUGCUAAAAUAGAAUUCAUUAAUUCGACUAACUCGAAUUUUUUUUACUCGAUCGAAUAAUCACCCCUAUUUCUAAACUAUAACAGUUAAUGGAAACUCGUUAAGUCAUAAAAAAUUCAAGUAAAUGUUUUAAACUUGAGUUUUAUGAAUACAAAAAAUAAUUUUAAAAGCUAUUUUAAAAUAUAAAAUUUAUUUGGUAUAAAUUAAAAUUAAAUACAAAAUAUAAUUAGAUUGUUUGAUAAAAUAUAAUUUUGUAAAAAUUUAAAGGUGGGGUAUUUGAAGAAUUUAAAAGAGAUGAAAUAAAAAUAAUUGAAACAAAUUCUACAUUAAGAUAUAAAUAGUUAUUUAUCUACUUUUCAUUUUCCACAUCUUUUCUUAGAAAAAUCCAAUCAUUUGUUUUUUUUAUUAUGAAUCAUCAAACUUGCUUAAAAACAUAAAUUAUUAGUUGAUUUAAUUAUUUUUAAUUGAUUAUCAAACAAGCCCUUGUUUCAAGUGCCAUUUAUGUCAAAAAAGUUUUAAGUAAUAGUACCAUAAACAUUCAUUUUAUAACAAUAAAGUUAAAGCCACGAAUAUUUUUUAAAAAAAUUCAAUUAAGCCCUUGAAUGUUAAAAUUUCAAUCAAUUAAACUCUUUGAUAGUUAAAGUUAACAGUUAAUUGUUUUAAUCAAUUAAGGCAUGGUGUAGUGUUUGUUUACCUCAUUCUUUAACAAUGUGGUUGAGGGUUCGAUCCCCACUUAUGGGAAUGAAGCACAUUUCAUGGUCAAUCAUUUACCUAUUUGGAGAGCACUCAUAGUGAGAAGAUUAACUACUGUUAUAGUUGGUGGAUACCCUGAUUAUGACAAAUAAAAAAUAACAACUACCAUUUUUUUUGGAUUAUUUUUGUCAAGUGGUGAAAAAUAUUUUAAUUUUUAUUAAAAAUCAUAUAAAAAGUAUAAAAAUUAUACAAGAAUUAUAAAAAUGCAUAAAUUAGAAAAAAUAUAUAAAAAAAUCUAUUGUGAAAACAUAAAAUUAUAAAAAUAUAAUUGCUCCCCCAAAUUCCAUGUUUCCUCUAACUCGUCUAACUGGAUUCUCCCUUAGAAUCAACUUAUUUGGAUUGUGAAAAUCUCCAUCCGAUAUUGAGCAAUUUGCACAAAUGGUUGGUAACAUUUUAUAAAAUUAUUUUUUUGUAAAAAAAAAGUGCAAAGAAAACCCAAUUAUAUGGAAUUGGUUUAUUUUCUAUGCAUGUGGAUCACCAAUUGAACAAGCAUAGACGACAAGGUGGACUCGUGAAAAGAAAACAUUUGUUGCAUCAUUGUUGUUUCCAUAUUCUCGCCUACCCAAAGCAGAAAUAAAGGGUGAAUUUGGCAUAUUAGCACCAUUUCUACCUCCUUUCUCCCUCUAUAUAAACCUCUUCCCACCCAAGCUGCCAUUGCCAAAACCCAUCAACUUCACCUCUAUUCUUCUUACUUGAGACCUAUAUUUAGUCUUGAAAUUUAACUGUGAAAAUGGGUUUCGCAUUUGCAUAUCGACUUAUCUUAGUCGUGGCAGUUGCUUCCGUGUUGGGAAUAAGCCUGGCAAAUAAAGACUGGGGCUCCCCUAAUUCCAACUACACUGGUUGGGGCUGGGGCUCCUCGAAGUCUAACCACACUGGUCAAGGCUUUAAUAACCAUCCCGUGAAUGAAACUCAAGGACCCAAAAAGAUAAUUGUUGGUGGAUCAAAAAACUGGCAUUUCGGCUUCAACUACUCCGAUUGGGCAUUCAACAAUGCACCAUUUUACUUCAACGAUACUCUAGGUGAGUCCAUAAUAUUACAUUUUACAAACCAAAGAAAUGGGAAGCUUCGAAAGAUUUUGAAAAAAAUAGAAAAUCAUCGUGUUGAUAACGUGUUAUAAAAUAAAGAGAGAUUGAGAGAAUAAAAAAUAAAGAAAACAUGAAAACAAUAAAAAAUAUACUUUAUUGAUCAAAGAGAUUAUUACAAUGUUUUAUCAUAUUUUAUUUAUAAGCAUAAGAAGUAUAAAAAAGAUUGAGAUCUAAUUCUAAUAACUAUUAAAAUUUAAAAUACAUAAAAGUUUUAUCUUAAGCAUGAUCAACAUCCACUUAACUUAAUAAGAUAUUUAUAAUAAUUUUUAAUUUCUAUAGGCGAAUUAUUAAGUAACGGGACAAGUAGAUGGCGAAAUUAAUAAAAAAAAUUCUGAAUUAUUUUUGUAAAAAAGCGGCAAAACCCAUAUUACCAUAACAGAUGCAAAAUCUGAUCGGUGAAGUUAAGAAAAUGGAGACCAUGGGAAAUCUUCUAAUCCUUUUUCCAGCUUCUUUAUGCCUCUUCCUUUUCGUUGCUUUGCUCAAUGUUUUCUACAAGUAUUGGUGGAUACCUCAUCGUUUACAGUUCAUCAUGAAUUCACAAGGAAUCAGAGGACCUCCUUAUGAAUUUAUCCAUGGAAACAACAAAGAAGCUGCCCAAAUGCUCAUGGAAGCAUCUACCAAACCUAUGGCCUUGACACAAGAUAUAUUUCCCGAGUCAUGCCUCAUGUUUACUCCUGGAUCAACAAAUACGGUGAGAAUAUGUUUUUUUUUUUCUCUUUUUAGGGUUGCAUUUUCUGAUUAACCUCCACUUUUCAAGAAAAGAAAUCAUUUUCUUUCAGGGAGGACUUAUCUUAGCUGGAAUGGAAUUCGAGCUCUACUGCUAAUUACAGACCCAGAUCUGGUGAACGAGGUCCUUAAAAACAGUGAAAAGGCUUUUCCAAAGCCGAAGGCU
RNAcentral lists this long non-coding RNA (14351 nucleotides) under Gossypium barbadense (sea-island cotton). RNAcentral's name for it is "long non-coding RNA (GBAR_LNC022157)". The record is from RNAcentral. Lineage: Eukaryota; Viridiplantae; Streptophyta; Magnoliopsida; Malvales; Malvaceae.